UCAACACUACACUGCAUCUCCUCCCUCCUUCCCCAAAUCGGCAGCCAUCAACCACCACCCUACCACCAUCAUUCGAUCUUGUUCCAUCCAUUCUAUUACCAUACAAGGAUGCAAGGAGACACACAACGAAGCUUGGUGCGUGCGGAAGUCGAAGGACCGCUCUCGUUUUCUUUUAUCCACCACUUUUCUACACUCGAACUCCCCUAGCCUUGUGCUAGUAGUAAGUUCCUUAUAUCUUCAUCUUGUUCAUGUUUUUAUGUAGUUAAUGAUGUUAAAGAUCAAAAAGAAUGGAAAUCCUAAUGAACAUAAACAAGUCUUGAAGUGUAACUAACUAAAGAUAGAGUAUGGUUAAAGUAGUUAAAAUGAUGAAUGAAAUAUGAUAUUGCUUGAUAAAUCUGAUGAAAAUAAGUAAUAAUCUGUUGUAAUUAUUGUUUUGAUCGCUAAACAUGUUAACGAAAUCAAUUGAACGCACUUUAAGAUGAUAAAAGACUGAAAACAGCAUGCUGAUCUGCUUUUCCAGCCACCUUUAACUGGCUGUAACUGCAUCGUAACUUAACAAAAACUUUAUUUUCUUAAGUCUAUAAUGUGCUAUUAUAAAAUACGGUUCUAAUGACACCGGAAUCGUAAUUUUUGGACCCCGUUUACUAUUUUUAAAGUGUUUCUCCGUAAUAGCAGCUUAAGCUGAAUUUUUCUGCUGAAAAUGUGCGUCCUAUUUUCAGUCAUAACCUGGAAUCUGUGUAGGAUUAGAUCAUGAAACUUAUACUGUAGAUGGUCACUGUUGUCGCCGUGAUCCUCCAACUGGAAUUACGUCAAUCGGACUUACGAAUAAUUUUUAGUAAAUUAUUUCGUAGACUGCAAUCAGAAAGUAACAAAUCUGAUUGCAGUCUAGAAAAUGAAUUUUUAUAAAAUAUUGGUAAUGAACUAGACCCCGAUAUUUUUACAAAAUAAUAUUUGGUUCGUGUAGGACGUUCUGUAAAAAUUUGGGAAUUUUUGGAAUAAGUUAACCAUUUUAUUUAAAUGUCUGAAAACAGUCCAGUUUCAUAUAUAUUAAAACAGAAGUGACAUAAGUAGUAAUUGCAUGCCAAAGUGUGGUUUUUUUAUUAUUAAAAAUCAUUCUUAUUUAAUUUAGGGCGGAUAAACAAUUGAGGGAUUGUGUUAACGUUUAAAAACGCACCCAAAGGUGAGUACAUAGUUCCCCUAUUUUACUGUUUUCAAUUGUUUUGGGGUGAUUCAUAUGUAUCAAAAUGAUUUCGAUGUUUUAACGAUGGUUUCACAACGAGUAAGAUGGUUUAUAUUAAACUAAUAACGAUUUCGAUAAUGUGAACGAGCUUGUUGCUUGUAAUUACAUAACAAAUGACAUUCAUUAAUUUCGGCCAAACCGACCAGUAUUAGGUUAUGGUACCAUAGGAUCCGACAAAUCCCGUUAUCAGACUGGACCCAUGGUUAUGUGUGGGUUAGGUGGGUAACGACCGAAUCUGAUGAUUGUUAACUUACCCUUUGGUGGUUUGUUAAUACGAGAACAAGUGGAACGAUGAACGAGUCACAAAGGUUUGAAUGUUGUUAACGAGACGACCAAAAGUAGUUUCACAAUCUAAAACGAGAAUGAUUUAAACGACUAAAGAGAUGUUUAACUAAUUAAACGAUCUGGGUAAACGAUUGGAAGCGAUGUCACACAAACGAGGUUUUCGAAACGAUAUAAACUAUACGAAUUUUAUUACGAAAAUGAUUUACGAUUUGGUUUACGAAAAGCAAAUGUUUUGGGUAAAGAUUCAUGGUCUCGAGGUUUACAAAUUAUAACCAAACUAUUUUGCUUCGGUUAUUCAUUUUACGAUACAAAUAUUUUACAAAAAACAAGAUUUCUAAUGUCGAUUAACGAAGUUAUACGAGUUAUUUCGACAUGCAAACGAGCCAUGAAUCUGACACUCACGCAAAACCUAUGUGAAGUUGCUUAGUGUUGAUUGCGAAUAGGAAGCAUGCUCACUUAGGACCGGACGAGGCCUUAGUGAUUUAAUAAUGAUAUUAGUCUAUGUUUGAUUUGCUUGUUUAACUUUAAAACAAUGUUUAAUAUUUAAUGAAAUGAAACUCU
This 2086-nucleotide long non-coding RNA is filed under the name Helianthus annuus (common sunflower). Its description in RNAcentral is "hypothetical non coding rna". The record is from RNAcentral. Lineage: Eukaryota; Viridiplantae; Streptophyta; Magnoliopsida; Asterales; Asteraceae.